Perca flavescens (yellow perch) is the source of this 737-nucleotide long non-coding RNA. RefSeq lists it as uncharacterized. NCBI's taxonomy places the organism in Eukaryota, Metazoa, Chordata, Actinopteri, Perciformes, Percidae. The transcript has 3 exons. The record is from RefSeq and is a predicted model, not a curated record.
CUCCCGGUUAGCAUCGCUGCUUAGCUACCUUGAGUACAACAAAUAAACACGCUAAAAUACACUUACUGCAACUAGAUCCGUAAAAGAAACUGUUUGUCUUAAAAAGGUAAAACGAGUGUAGGAGUUGCCAUAAAAAGGGACUGUCACUGUUCACUGAAACGCGUUUAUGAGCCGAAGGAGAAGGGCUUCCACCGGCUGCAGUGUCUACCUUCAACCAGCAGGUGUCAGGAGAAAACACUUUAUUCUCCCCAGUACACGUGGUGGAGGAGUGAAGGGUCCUUUUUUCUAACAGUUAUGGGAGAAUCACAGGAUUGCAGUUACCUUUCUUCCAGACUGGUUUAUAAAGGGCCAGCAGAAUGAUAGCGAUGAAAAGAAUGAAUACAAUGACACCGGCAAUGACUGCAGCUAACAGAGAGAGAUUUACAGUGAAACCACUGACUUUCUUUGCAUUUGCUACAGGAAAAGCAGUUUCGAGCGUAGUUCCAGUUCUCCAUGUACUGGUAUGUUGAGCAUUGUUCACACACAGUGUCAGUAGUUUCAGAGCAUUCUUGUUUCAGCCGCUGUCCUGUUAGAAUAUAUACAUGAAUAAAUCCACGUUAGUCACUUUAAAUGCAUUUUAUAACAGCACAACAGCAUUGUAACCUGUAACUCCAAAAUUCCCACUAACAGACAAAAACGUAAAUUGUGCAUCAUAGUACCAUGCGGUUAUCUUGGUUUGACUUUGUUUACUGGUUAAA